GUGUCUUCCCUCUUUCCCAGGGGAGCUCACCGCGGACAUCAGGCAGCGCGCGGCGCAGCUCGGUACGCAAUUCCCAGCUUUCCCCCCCGCGGGGCUCCCCUCGGCCCUCCCGCUGCCGUGCCCGAGGGGCGAUUCCUGCGCUAGUCGGCUCUAGGAGGGGGGGUGCGAAGGCUGGGGUAAAGGGUGAUGUACAGAGGGGCCUGGGGGUGGAUCCUGCGGGACACGGUGGGAUAAGUGGUUAUAUAGGAGGAUAUAUGACAGGAUAGAUGAUUAUAUGGUAGGAUAUACAAUUAUAUGGUAGGGUGUCUGAUUGAUUGUAUGGUAGGGAAUAUGAUUGAUCAUAUAGUAGGGUAUAUGUUUGAUUAUAUGGUAGGGUAUAUGAUUAUAUGGUAGGAUAUAUGAUUGAUUAUAUAGUAGGUUAUAUGAUAGAAUAUAUAAUUAUAUGAUGGGAUACAUGAUUAUGUGAUAGAAGAUAUCUUUAUAUGAUAGGCUGUACAAUUAUAUGAUAGGAUAUAUGAGUGUAUGAUAGGAUAUAUAGUAGGAUACAUGCUUAUAUGAUAGGAUAUAUGCUUAUGUGAUAAGGUAUAUGAUAAGAUAUGUGAUUAUAUGGUAGGAUAUGCGGUUAUAUUAUAGGACAUAUGGUUAUAUAAUAGAAUAUAUGGUUAUAUAAUAGUAUAUAUGGUAGGAUAUAUGAUUAUAUGGUAGGAUAUAUGGUUAUAUGAUACGAUAUAUGGUUAUAUGAUAGGAUAUGUGGUAUGAUAUCUGAUUAUAUCGUAAGAUAUAUGGUUAUCUAAUAGGAUAUAUGAUUGUAUAAUACGAUGUAUGAUAGGAUAUAUGAUUAUAUGGUAGGAUAUAUGGUUAUAUGAUAGGAUAUAUAGUUAUAUGGUAGGAUAUACGAUAGGGUAUAUGGUUAUAUGGCAGGAUAUAUGGGUUUAUGAUAAGAUAUAUGAUUAUAUGAUACAAUAUAUGCUUUUAUGAUAGGAUAUAUGGUUGUAUGAGAGAAUAUAUGAUUAUGUAGUAGGAUAUAUGAUUAUAUGUUAGAAUAUAUGAUUAUAUAGUAGGAUAUAUGACAGGAUAUAUGAUUAUAUGAUACAAUAUAUAGCUAUAUGGUAGGAUAUCCCAUUCUGUGCUGGAUUCCAUAGUAGCCUCUAUGACUCCAUGACACCCUAGAACCGACAUUCCCCGAAUCCCGCUGCCGAGCAGCACCGGGGAUCGGGUCCCGGCUCCAGGAGGAGCCUUUGGCAGAGCUGGGCCUUGGGCUCAUUUCUGCCUCUUGCUUUGCUGUUUGCAGAGGAGCGGGACGUGGCCAUCUGUGAGUAUUCCCUGCUCCUGCCCCCGGCCGGGCUCUAUCCCGCUGCUAUUCCCAGGGAUGAGCUCAGGGCAACACGAGCUGCGGGCGCGGGAAGGGCAAGAUCCUGGCUGCCAGAGCAGGGACACCGGAGGGAGCACCAGCACUGGGAGGGGGGGGUCAUGGAUACAGCCGCUUAUCCCUCCUAUAAAUCCCAUUGGGAUACUUCCCGGGUCGUAUUUGGGGCUGCUGGAGCCUGGGUCUCACCCACAGGGUUCAUUGUGUGAGGCUCGAGGGGUUGGAAGCAGAAUGGGGAUGGGGAUGAAGUGUUCCAAGAUCCCAAGGGCUGCUCUGGGACAUGGUGCGAAUUCCUCGGGAUUUAUUCCCAUUAUUUCCUUUCUUUCAGUGGAAAAGGAAGCCGAGAUCCGGCACCUCAGGGAGCUGCUCGAGAGCCAGGAUUCGGGAAUCCAGGAGCAGAGGGAGCAGGAAGCUGAUGGAUCUUCUGAGGAGCUCGUUGGGAGCCAUUGCUCCUCAUCCCAUCCCUACGUGCCGUUGUGGAAGCCCUUUCCCAGGUUUCUUGUCAGCCCUUUAGGCCCUGGAAGCUUCCUGGAGCUUUUCCUUCUCCAUGUCUUACCUCUUUAUCCAACCCGUGCUAAUCCCUGCGCCCGGAAACCUGGGAUUGCUUUGGGAACGCUCGGGAACGGCCGAGCAACGUGCACUGACCGUUCCCUUUGCUUCUCUUCCCAGAGGAAUACAAAGCCAAAGCACGUGAGUGACCUCGGGAGCAGGCAGGGAGGAUCCGGGGGCGGAGGUGACGCUGGACCCGGCCACGGCGCACCCUCGGCUGCUCGUGUCGCGGGACGAGCGGAGCGUGCGGUGGGAAUACGGGCUCCGGGAGCCCCCCGGCGCCGCCGAGCGCUUCGCCGCCGCUCCCUGCGUGCUGGGCCGCGAGGCCUUCUCCUCGGGGCGGCACUGCUGGGACGUGGACGUGGGCCAGGGCCAGCACUGCGCCAUCGGCGUCACCCGCGAGUCCUGCCCCCGGCAGGGACCCGUCGCCUUCAGCCCCGAGGAGGGCACCUGGGCCCUGCAGCAAUGGGGCUUCCAGAGCAGAGCCCUCACGUCGCCUCCCGUCACCCUGAGGCUGCCGCGGGUGCCGCGCAGGAUCCGCGUCUCCCUGGAUUAUGAGUGGGGAGAGGUGAGGUUCUUCGACGUGGAGAACCAAGCGCCCAUCUUCACCUUCCCGCGCGCCUCCUUCCGCGGCGAGCGGCUCCGGCCGUGGUUCUGGCUGGAGCUGGGCUCCAUCUCCCUGCUCCGGUGACUGUCCCGGAGGGGCAGGAAGGAUGGAAGCACCUUGGGAGCUCCGGGACGUCGCUGAUGGAUGCUGUGGUCCUCCCCAUCCAUGUCUCACCGCCCUUUGGUGGCGCCUUUUCCAUCCCUGCGUGCUCCAAGAACCUUCAUCCGUGUCUCCCACCCACCCACCGUGGGGCACCCAACGGGUGCUUCCUGAUGGACAAUAAACCACUUGAGACUCUCCA
This is a long non-coding RNA of Strigops habroptila (Kakapo), 2823 nucleotides long. The record is from Ensembl. Lineage: Eukaryota; Metazoa; Chordata; Aves; Psittaciformes; Psittacidae.